AUUGAACGCUGGCGGCAGGCCUAACACAUGCAAGUCGAGCGAGCGGCGGACGGGUGAGUAAUGUAUGGGGACUGCCCGAUAGAGGGGGAUAACUACUGGAAACGGUGGCUAAUACCGCAUACUAUCGGAUAACCCAUAUGGGAUUAGCUAGUGGGUGGGGUAAAGGCUCACCUAGGCGACGAUCUCUAGCUGGUCCGAGAGGCUGAUCAGCCCCACUGUGACUGGGACACGGCCCGGACUCCAACGGAGGCGGCAGUGGGGAAUAUUGCACACUGGGCGAAAGCCUGAUGCAGCAAUGCCGCGUGUAUGAAGAAGGCCUUAGGGUUGUAAGGUACUUUAAGCGGGGAGGCGUUACCCGCAGAAGAAGCACCGGCUAACUCCGUGCCAGCAGCCGCGGUAAUAC
RNAcentral lists this ribosomal RNA (403 nucleotides) under uncultured bacterium. Its description in RNAcentral is "partial 16S ribosomal RNA". It matches the Rfam family "Bacterial small subunit ribosomal RNA", at positions 30 to 526 of the family's 1533-position model. The record is from RNAcentral.